AACGCACAUUGCGCCCCUUGGUAUUCCGAGGGGCAUGCCUAUUCGAGCGUCAUUAUCACCCCUCAAGCCUAGCUUGGUGUUGAGGCCUGCUGUAAGGGCAGCCUCUAAAAUCAGUGGCAGUGCUGUCAGGCUCUAAGCGUAGUAAUUUUUCUCGCUAUGGACACCUGGUGGACACUCGCCAGAACCCCCCCAUUUUUUAAUGAUUGACCUCGGAUUAGGUAGGGAUACCCGCUGAACUUAA
Molecule: unclassified non-coding RNA, 241 nt
Filed under: uncultured Ascomycota
Lineage: Eukaryota; Fungi; Ascomycota
Also listed under: 1 other name
Description: sequence contains ITS2
Source: RNAcentral